RNAcentral lists this unclassified non-coding RNA (258 nucleotides) under Hevea brasiliensis (rubber tree). Lineage: Eukaryota; Viridiplantae; Streptophyta; Magnoliopsida; Malpighiales; Euphorbiaceae. The record is from RNAcentral.
AUUAUUAAAUUUGAUUAAAAUCAAGUUAAACAGAACUAAAACCAUAAUUGAAUUGAAAAAUAAUUAUUAAUCAAAAUGGGUACCAAGUAAAAUCGCCAGAGACCUAUAAUCUGAUCUCGGUUCUCCUCUAGGUGUUGGAUUCUUUCUUCUAUUUUUAGAAAACCGUAUAAUUAUUUUAUUUAUUUAACUUGUAUUUCUCCUUAUGUUUUCCUUUAAUUUUGAAGAGAUCAAGGUAGAAUUUUUCUUCUUUAAUCCACA